UCGGCGGGUGGGCGGGGCUUCCAGGGAGGCCUCCGUGUAGGCCGCAGUGAAGCCUGAACUCGAGUAGGGCCCAAGCAAGCCAGGAAGGAGGAGGCAGCCAGAGUGUUCUCUGCAGCAGAAGACUCCUUGCUGCCCUGCUUAACCCAGACCAGCAUUUGCCAGGGCUUGGUCAGUUUCAAGUAGAAGAGGAGAGCGCGUCUCACAUUCAGGAAAUGCAAUGAGCACUUGACAGGUGUCGUGGAAUUCUGCAAGAAGGAGAAGAUCCUUGUUUGAGGCAGACGCCUGUGGCGACCUUUCGAAAGUCUGGGUACUUGUUGAAACCAUGGCUGCCGGGGCCACCAUGGAGCGAUCAAGAUGCAGUUUGCAGAUUCCUGAAGGAUUUUUGCUAGAACUCUGUUUAACAGAAGGUAAAGCAGGAAAGUGUAUAGAAACCUUCAACCCCGGUUGAAUUGGAAAGCAACCCCACUGGAGAUGCGGCUGAUGCCAGCCCGCAAGCAGCAUAGAGGGCACUUUUUAUUCGUAAGAGUUUCAAACAGGUCCAUCUCUGGUGUACUCCAGGCCUGGAACAACAGAUGGAGAUAUUUAAGGUUGACCUCCCAUUCGUGUUGCUGCAGAUGAAGUGAGGACCUGCUGAGAUGCUCCGCCAAGGUGUUCUUCACUCAUCUGAUGUGGAUUGCAACCUGACCUAUUUGCCGUGCUAUGGCCCCAAUUCCAAAUUUGCGGACUGAGUAUGCAAAGGGAGCAGAAGCAUGCAUCCCUCCCCAACGGUUUAAGUAAGCGAUCACCGUAGUAUUGUCCAAGCUGAUUUGAAUGAGCUUGCCUGUCAGGAAUAGCUGGAAGGAUGUGAGAGCCUGAAACACCUCCAGGAGCUCUAAGACGGUGAUAUGCAUCUGGUGUUGGCACCGUGACCACAGACCUUGAGCUUGAAGAUCCCCGCAAUGGGCUCUGCAGCCCCGUAAGGAUGCGUCCAUCAUGAACCAGGCAGGAGAUUGGGGUACCUGGAAGGGGACUCCGGACAGCAGGUUGACCUGUUUUGUCUAUCACUGAAGGGACACAAGAAUUGGCGGUGGAAUUGUUAAGAGUAUCUGCUCAUUGUCCACAUUUGGACGAAAUACAGACAGAAACCAAAGUUGAAAACGCUGAAGACAUAGUUUGGCGAAGUGCACAGUUGAUCUGCAUGAUGCCAUCAGGCCCAGUAGUUUCUGAACUUUGUGGGCUUUUUGUCUGGGUUGCAUCACGAAGGAAGUUACUAGUGCCUUGAUGCAUAGGAAUUGUUCCUUGGGUAGAAAUGCAUGUUGCCAUGCAUCGAGGGCUGCUCCUAUGUAGUCUAUGCACUUGACAGACUCUAGUCCGGACUUUGACCAGUUGACCUGAAAGCCCAGAUCCUUGAGUAAACACAAGACUGUCGAGAAUUGCAAAUCUAUCUUGUUUUUUGGUCUUCCUGCCAGGAGCCAGUCUUCCCAGUACAGAAAAAUGGUUAGGCCCUGUGACCAAAGGUGAACCAUGAUGAUGGCCAUGGAUUUUGUAAAUUCACGGGGUGCUGUCACCAGUCCAAAUGGCAGGACAUUGUAGUGGUAGACAUGGUGACCCACCGUAAACCUUAGAAACUAUCUGUGGUUGAGUUGGAUUCCAAGGUGUAAGUAUGUGUCUCGGAGAUCCAACAUUGUGAACCAUUCCUCCCCGUGGAGAAGAGGAAGGAUGCUCUGCAAAGUCUUCAUGUGAAACUUGUGCAUGUCCACAAGACGAUUCAGCCACUGCAGGUCCAUGAUUGGCCUUAACCUCCCCCCAUCUCGUAUGGGGACCUGGAAGUAGCGGGAGUAAAAACCCCGCCACUGAUCUGCCCACCGAACAGGCGAAAUUGCCUCCUUGUCCAAAAGAGUCUUAUCUUCAGCAGUAAUGGGGAUGCCGGUGUGUACUUGAUACCACUGAAAGCUGGUAGGGUCUCGAACUCUAUGGCAUAGCCCAUAUGAACUAUGUGAAGGACCGAACGGUCUAAUGUUAUGUUGUGCCAUGCCAAGGCUUGACUUGCCAGACUGAUGUUGCAGGCAGCUAAGAUGGUAGAUUGGAAAGAAGUCGAUGGUAGUGACUCUUGGGCAAGGUAAUGCAGUGGACUGAACUCAUGAUCUAAGAUGCUGUUAGAAUCAAUGGGUUUAGGGCGUUGGCCCUGCGAGGCUCUAGACUUUGGUUGAAAGGCUUCCUUCCAAAACGUUGGGAAGGCUUGCGGAAGUCUCUCUUGUCCGUCUGCUUAUAAGGGUACUGUUGUUGCCCAAAUGUUGAGCUUGACGGUGUACUUUCACUAGAAUCUAGCAAGUUUAAAAAGAUGCUGGGAGUCAACUGGUUCCAAACUGCUUUCCAUGUCAUCUUCCUUAACGUUGAUGCUGAAGGAAAUUGGUGAAGGACACAAAGCCUGUGGCACCGGGUGAGCAGCCAGAGAUGGUGAUUGCUGUGGCAUCGUAACUGGCAAGAGAGAAUUCUCUAAUUGCAGAGCAGAUGAAGUCGUAGUCAGUACCGUUCUCGAUGUUGAGGUGAAUGCCAAGGCUCAGUGUUGAGUUGAAGGCGAUGGACGAUCCCAGGCCAUGACUUCUGGGAUCGCAGGGUGUGACUGAGGCAUCACAGGUGCUGACUGUGUGACUUUCCCUCAUAACAGUGUUGUCAGGGAAAGAGUAGCUCAAGAUGCAGUGGAAGCCUCCUCAGUGGCAGUCUGUGUAUCCUUCUCAUGAGGCGCCUCCUCAGCACUGGAGCCCUGAUGCCGGGACUUAUGUCUCUUAUGAUGAUAAAAAUUUGAAGGUGGCUUCGGCGCUUUA
This is a long non-coding RNA of Hemicordylus capensis (graceful crag lizard), 2804 nucleotides long. RefSeq lists it as uncharacterized. NCBI's taxonomy places the organism in Eukaryota, Metazoa, Chordata, Lepidosauria, Squamata, Cordylidae. The record is from RefSeq and is a predicted model, not a curated record. The transcript has 3 exons.